This is a non-coding RNA of Lepisosteus oculatus (spotted gar), 781 nucleotides long. NCBI's taxonomy places the organism in Eukaryota, Metazoa, Chordata, Actinopteri, Semionotiformes, Lepisosteidae. The record is from RefSeq and is a predicted model, not a curated record.
GAGAAACUCCAAAACAUCCAGCAAUGCUCCAUCACCAUGAUCCCUGUCCUCCUCCUCACCCCCCCGUCCCGACCGCGCUGUGUGUCCGCAGAGCACUGAGAGUCCAGCUCCUCCAGGACUCCGGCUCCUCUCCGACAGGGACCUGCAGCCUCGUGCCGGAGGCCAGCCUGAGGCCCUGCUCCCAUGUGCUGUCAGUGUGUUAAGGGUCUUUCUCUGUCAUGUGUCUGCUCUGAAGAUAUACAAGAGAUAAAAAAGCUUGAAACAAAAUCAGUUUGUUUUCCAGCACGGGUAUCUAAGGAAGGGUUCCUUUUCAAGAAAAAAGAAACUCUUGUAGAAGUGAAGGAUAACAGGCUUGUAUUGGCUCCUGAUACAAUCAUCUGGGACAAGACUGGGCACUUCUGUAUCAUAAACCUGAGCAAGGAACAUAGUGGGGAAUACACUGUCAACAAUAAAGAACCAAAGACAGAAACAAAAUAUAAUCUCUUAGUUUACGGUCCUGUGUCAACGCCAAGAGUCCAGGCCGCUCAGAACACACUCUGCUCUCUGCUGUGUUCAGUGGAGAACGGGAGAGAGGUCACCCUGUUCUGGCACAGAAAGGGACAGGACCAACCUGUGAACCGCAGCUCCUCUUCUACCAGCUCCAAUCUGACUCUCCUUCUUGAGAUAGAGGAUCUGACUGUCUCCUACACCUGCUCUGUCAGUAACCCUGUCAGCAGUAAUAGGGCUGAAGUCAACCCUUACAACUACUGCGCUGGUGAGCCCCUGGAAAGAUCAGCUUCUU